This is a long non-coding RNA of Electrophorus electricus (electric eel), 236 nucleotides long. The record is from Ensembl. NCBI's taxonomy places the organism in Eukaryota, Metazoa, Chordata, Actinopteri, Gymnotiformes, Gymnotidae.
UCGGAGGAAGAGGACACAUUCGUGCAAGGAACUGAUGCCAUGCCGGACAUGAGCAUGGACUCCGAGAUAGAGGAUACCUUCGUGCUCAAUAUCAGCAUGGACUCGGAGGAAGAGGACACAUUCGUGCAAGGAACUGAUGCCAUGCCGGACAUGUACGUGUAAAUUCACGUUUGUGCAUGAGAAAAUGUGUACUAUACAUUUGAAGUGUAUUUUUCUGUAGCAUAAUAUUUUAGCCU